GUGUUAGAGCAGAGAACUACUGGAAACGAAAAACAGAAGUACAGAGACUUGCCCUAUUGGAAAGUGUCCCAUUCUAGAGCUGAGAAGAGAAAGCAGGACAGGGAAUCACCUGCUAGUGUCGCGUCAGAUGUCUACAUGUCCACAAGUUGUUUAAGAAAAAUUAAGGUAAGAGGUAAUGAAAAGAAAUAAGAUAAAUAGACUCUAAGGUAUUUGGAGAUGCAAGGAGUACAGCGUGACUUUUCCUAGUAGAUACGACUGUUGCACACAAAAGGCAAGAAGUCACCGAGUUCAAAACCAGACGGCCUACUGUCUUCUGUGUUUCUGAGAAUAAAUUUAAGAGGACUACAACAGUUUGCUGCAACAGUUCUUCUCCAUGGUGGAUGGUUAUUCUCCAGACCUGAAAACGGUGUUUGGCAAGGAAGGCGGCAUUGAAGGACAAAAGAUUAAGAGCAUCAUGGUUCCCAUAACCCAGACUAACUCCAUUGAUGUCAGAAGAGUACAUCCUUUAAGCCCAGUGUGUGUUCCUCAAUGAAGAUCCUGGCAACCUUGUGAAAGAAUGGAUGGUAAGAAUGUUUUUUUUUUUUUUUUUUUUUUCAUUUAAAUUUAAUAUUUCAAAGUGAUUUAUAUGCUUUAAAAGUUGAAGUGUUAUAUAACAUCAUCCGCUUUUUUAAUUUUACAUUUCAGAUCGUGGACGCUUUGAAGAAGCCAUGAUAGAGACAAUUCUUGAAGUUUUUGUCAUUCACAAAGAUGCAAAGGCAGAUGAUGACCCUGAAGAUGUAGUCAUCGUUUCAAGUCCUGGAUGAGUUUGGUAGUAUCCCACUUGCUGUGUUGUUGUUUGAUCUUGUAUAUGCUCUCAACCUCAGCUACCUUCCACUAAAGGUUGUUUGAAAUAUUGGCC
This 898-nucleotide long non-coding RNA is filed under the name Betta splendens (Siamese fighting fish). Its description in RNAcentral is "lncRNA (ENSBSLG00000017419.1)". Lineage: Eukaryota; Metazoa; Chordata; Actinopteri; Anabantiformes; Osphronemidae. The record is from RNAcentral.